CCCCUUAGAUGUUCUGGGCCGCACGCGCGCUACACUGACGAUGGCAACGAGUUUUUCCUUCGCCGAAAGGUGUGGGUAAUCUUUUGAAACAUCGUCGUGCUGGGGAUAGAUCAUUGCAAUUUUUGAUCUUGAACGAGGAAUUCCUAGUAAGCGCGAGUCAUCAGCUCGCGUUGAUUACGUCCCUGCCCUUUGUACACACCGCCCGUCGCUACUACCGAUUGAAUGGUUUAGUGAGGACUCCUGAUUGGCGCCGCCGCCCCGGCAACGGAGCAGCGGACUGCCGAAAAGUUGUUCAAACUUGAUCAUUUAGAGGAAGUAAAAGUCGUAACA
This 330-nucleotide ribosomal RNA is filed under the name uncultured eukaryote. RNAcentral's name for it is "partial 18S ribosomal RNA". It matches the Rfam family "Eukaryotic small subunit ribosomal RNA", at positions 1469 to 1796 of the family's 1831-position model. The record is from RNAcentral.